AGGGUUGUAGCUCAGUGGUAGAGCGCUUGCCUAGUAUGCGUGAGGCCCUGGGUUCGAUCCCUGGCACCACAU
Molecule: non-coding RNA, 72 nt
Organism: Ictidomys tridecemlineatus (thirteen-lined ground squirrel)
Lineage: Eukaryota; Metazoa; Chordata; Mammalia; Rodentia; Sciuridae
Source: Rfam